GAUCUACCCUUGUCCAGGAUGAAGUGAGGGUAAAACCUCAUGGAGGUCCGAACUAAUGUGGGUUGAAAACCGCUUGGAUGAGGUAAGGGUAGGAGCGAAAGACCAAUCAAACUCGGUGAUAGCUCGUACUCCUCGAAAUAGCUUUAGGGCUAGCCUCGAGUAAUAGUAUGCCGGAGGUAGAGCACUGAUUGGGCUAGGGCUGUCACAACGGUACCAAACCCAGACAAACUCCGAAUUCCGGUCAUAUGUUUCUCGGGAGUCAGGCAGCGGGGGAUAAGCUUCGUUGCCAAAAGGGAAACAACCCAAAUCAUCAACUAAGGCCCCAAAAUAGUAGUUAACAGAGAAAGGAUGUUAAGUUGCUCAGACAACUAGGAUGUUGGCUUAGAAGCAGCCAUUCAUUUAAAGAGUGCGUAAUAGCUCACUAGUCAAGCGACUUAGCGUCGACAAUGUCCGGGACUUAAACUACUUGCCGAAGUUAUGGGAUCCGCCUUUGGCGGAUCGGUAGAGGAGCAUUCCAUUUGCUGCGAAGGUGAAGCGUGAGCUCUGCUGGAGCGAAUGGAAAAGCAAAUGUAGGCAUAAGUAACGAUAAUGAAGAUGAAAAAUCUUCACGCCGAAAAUCUAAGGUUUCCUGAGCAAUGUUAGUCAUCUCAGGGUUAGUCGGAUCCUAAGCCGAGGCUGAAAGGCGUAGGUGAUGGAAAACAGGCUAAAAUUCCUGUACCUGGUAUUAUUCGUUUUACCAUAAGGAGUGACGCAGAAGUGAAAGAUCAGCCACCUGUUGGAUUAGGUGGUCUAAGCAUGUAGGUUUGAAGAGCCGGCAAAUCCGCUCUUCUCUAAGACCGAGGUGCGAACGGGAGGGCUUGCCCACAAACUGAUCCUAAUCAGACUGCCGAGAAAAACUUCGUAUGGGAGAAUUGUAUCAGUCCGUACCGUAAACCGACACAGGUAGAUGGGAUGAGUAUUCUAAGGCGCUCGAGUGAGCCGUGGUUAAGGAACUCGGCAAAUUAACCCCGUAAGUUCGCAAGAAGGGGUGCCUCUUGUAGGUGAAAUUGUACAAAUUGAGCCGAAAGAGGCCGCAGUGAAAUGGCCCAAGCGACUGUUUAACAAAAACACAUGUCUCUGCUAAGUCAAUUCAGACGAUGUAUAGGGACUGACACCUGCCCGGUGCUGGAAGGUUAAGGGAAGAGGUUAGCGCAAGCGAAGCUUUGAACCGAAGCCCCAGUAAACGGCGGCCGUAACUAUAACGGUCCUAAGGUAGCGAAAUUCCUUGUCGGGUAAGUUCCGACCUGCACGAAUGGUGUAACGAUUUGGGCACUGUCUCAACCACGGGCUCGGUGAAAUUGUGGUACCGGUGAAGACGCCGGUUACCCGCAUAUGGACGGAAAGACCCCGUGCACCUUUACUGCACCCUAAUAUUGGGUUCGGGUAAGGCAUGUGUAGAAUAGGUGGGAGGCUUUGAAGCCGGAGCGCUAGCUUCGGUGGAGCCAACUGUGAAAUACCACCCUUGUUUUAUUUGGAUUCUAACCUCAGCCCUUGAAUCAGGGUUAGGAACAGUGUUAGGCGGGUAGUUUGACUGGGGCGGUCGCCUCCUAAAAUGUAACGGAGGCUCUCAAUGGUUCCCUCAGCAUGGUUGGUAAUCAUGCGGCGAGUGUAAAGGCAAAAGGGAGCUUGACUGCGAGACUUACAAGUCGAGCAGGUGCGAAAGCAGGACUUAGUGAUCCGACGGCUGCGAGUGGAAGUGCCGUCGCUCAAAGGAUAAAAGGUACGCCGGGGAUAACAGGCUGAUCUUGCCCAAGAGUUCAUAUCGACGGCAAGGUUUGGCACCUCGAUGUCGGUUCAUCGCAUCCUGGGGCUGAAGAAGGUCCCAAGGGUUUGGCUGUUCGCCAAUUAAAGCGGUACGUGAACUGGGUUCAGAACGUCGUGAGACAGUUCGGUCCCUAUCCUAUGCGGGCGUAGGAAACUUGAGAAGAGUCGCUUCUAGUACGAGAGGACCGAAGUGAACGCACCUCUAGUGUACCAAUUGUCGCGCCAGCGGCAGCGUUGGGUAGCUAUGUGCGGACGUGAUAAGCGCUGAAAGCAUCUAAGUGCGAAGCACACUUCAAGAUUAGGUUUCCCUUACGCAAGUAACUAAAGACUCCUUGGAGAUUACAAGGUUGAUAGGCUGCAGGUGCAAGCCCGGUAACGGGUUCAGCCGAGCAGUACUAAUAAGUCGUGCGACUUAGCC
This 2221-nucleotide ribosomal RNA is filed under the name activated sludge metagenome. Its description in RNAcentral is "bacterial LSU rRNA". It matches the Rfam family "Bacterial large subunit ribosomal RNA", at positions 727 to 2925 of the family's 2925-position model. The record is from RNAcentral.